CAGGGUGUAGCGCAGCCUGGUAGCGCACGUGCCUUGGGCGCACGAGGUCGUGAGUUCGAAUCUCACCACCCUGACCA
Molecule: transfer RNA, 77 nt
Filed under: Burkholderiales bacterium
Lineage: Bacteria; Pseudomonadati; Pseudomonadota; Betaproteobacteria; Burkholderiales
Also listed under: 3 other names
Description: tRNA-Pro
Rfam family: tRNA
About the family: Transfer RNA (tRNA) molecules are approximately 80 nucleotides in length. Their secondary structure includes four short double-helical elements and three loops (D, anti-codon, and T loops). Further hydrogen bonds mediate the characteristic L-shaped molecular structure. tRNAs have two regions of fundamental functional importance: the anti-codon, which is responsible for specific mRNA codon recognition, and the 3' end, to which the tRNAs corresponding amino acid is attached (by aminoacyl-tRNA synthetases). tRNAs cope with the degeneracy of the genetic code in two manners: having more than one tRNA (with a specific anti-codon) for a particular amino acid; and 'wobble' base-pairing, i.e. permitting non-standard base-pairing at the 3rd anti-codon position.
Source: RNAcentral